Molecule: long non-coding RNA, 1099 nt
Organism: Harmonia axyridis
Lineage: Eukaryota; Metazoa; Arthropoda; Insecta; Coleoptera; Coccinellidae
Exons: 2
Source: RefSeq, a predicted model, not a curated record
AGCUGCCCUCUUUGCUGAGGGUGCGUGAAAUGAGUCGUGAGGGAUGAUCCAAAUCAGUUUGUGUAGGCUUUCUAUAGAUGUUAUAUGAAAAAAUAUAUGUUUCAUUUAGAAGUCUCCUUAGCAUCCCAUUGUCCACAGAAAACUAUGACAAAUAAAUGAAGACCAUAUACCAGAUCGGAAAUGCCAAUCGAUAAACUGACAAAUUCAUUGAUACCAUUCUGAACUCCACAAAGAAAAAAAUAACUGUUAACAAAAUAUACCCACAUACUCUGUCAUAAAGUCACUUCAUUUCAAUACCCUUUUAUAAAUACCUAAACCCAAAAUUAACUUCAACUCUCAGGAAGUAUGACUAUACCCUUUCUAACAAACGAUAUUUAACCCUUGGAAACUUAUUACUUAAACUGCACAGACUGUUAAUCUUUUUACAUAGGAAUGACAACUCGAAACAUGAAUUUCGAUAACCUUGAAAUUUAACAUACAGAAAAUAACUUUCAUAAAAUGGCACUAUUAGAACAUACUAAAUAUUAAAAAAGGAAAAUGACGCGAACCUUUUAAACGAAUUUUCGGAUUUCGGUACAUCCAAAAACAUCUUCAAACUGAUAACCCCUUUCAUCUAGUCAAUUUGAAUUUACCCGCCAAACCUUUACAUUCCCGUCCUCUCCAUGAGCUCCCACAUCCGUUUUCCCUACCAUCGUCAAUUCCUGGAAGAAAAACCAAGUCAACACCACGUUAUCUAGAUUCCGAAACAUUGCCGUGACAAAUUCUAAAAUAGUAGCUACAGUCAUUUAACUAUUGAAAAUUAAAGGUUGUUAUUUCAGUUGAAAACAGAACGCUGGCCUGAUGAUGGUUCCACUGUAAACCGAAAUCGAUCGCCAAAAUAUACGUUGAAAAUUAAUAUAGUAUGUUUUUUCUACCUUCAAAAAUUGAAUCGCCUUCUAUAAGCUAAAUUCCAAAUACAACUAUAUAAUAUGUUGUAGGUGGUAUUUAGCCUUACGUCUUUAUAUUCCUGGAGUUUUUAUCGUUUUCUGAAAAUAAUAAUUGCUUUGAAUAAUAAAUAGUAUAUAAGGCAAUUGAUAUUGUAUACAUAUAUAUCAAGAUC